GGAAAAUGCUCAGCUUACGGGCAAGAAGGAGCAGAUAACAAAAAGUUCCUCCCAUAGGUUAUAUAAAUCAGAGAACUAAACAUCAUUACUUCCUUUUAAAUUUUCUUAUUUUUAAUCGAGGUAAAAUACACCUAAUAUUUGCCAUCUAACCCUUGCAAGUGUACAUUUUAGUAGUGUAAGAUACAUUCACAUUGUUGUACAAUCAUUACUUCUUGAAUAUCUUUUCUCAAAUCUGUCUUAAAGUCAGGAGAUAUGAGUGGAGGAUUCAAGGAUUCGAACCACAAAGCCUCGACAUCUAGUGAAUGUAAUCUGGAAGGGAGGAGAAAGACACUAAAAGAGAACUGUGAGGCUUUGAGAUCUAUUAAAGUGGAAAAGGAAGCUGAAUUAAAAAUGUUGAAGAUGAACAUAGGCGUGACUGAUGAACUCUUUGGACAAAGCAAGAUGGUCAUAGACAAGAAGCUGAGAAUGAAAGAACGUGAGAGGGUGGAAAAGGAGAAGCAGCUCUCUCAUCAGCAGAAAAGAAGGUGAAAUUGGCUGCAGAAGAAAUGCAGCGCUGCAAGCAACAAACUGAUCAAAUGCGGCAACAGGUGCAGCAAGUAGAGUCCACCUUCAGACACCAGAUCGCUGUGCAUGAGAAGAAUGCUCAAGAUAGUUGGAUCAAGGCUCGGAUUUUGGAGAGGGAGAUAGUGGAGCAGAGCAGGGAAGCCGCUCACUUGAAACACAGAUUGGAGAUAAUGUCCCAAAAGAGGCUUCCUGAGGGAUACAGGCCGUACGAACCAAUGUUGCAAAGACCUGGGAUGCAGAACCCUGCACAGAGAGGACGAUGAUUUUGAAAGAGGAGCCUGAGCCGUGAUAAAAGGCUAUGGCAAUUGAUUAUGGUUUUCCCUGCCCAAUCCUGCCUCCUCCACUUUUAUCUUUCCUAUUGUCUCCCCUAAUACACCCUUUAUGGUUCUAACUCAGUGUCAGCGUCUGCUUUUUGGAGGACCAACCGACUCACUCCAGGGAGUGUACACAGUGUGAGUCUUGUACGCGCAGUUCAAAAACAGGCAGAAACCAUGGGAAUGAGGCAGAAGCAAGGUUAUUUUGGGAGGGGUACUGUUGACUGCGAGGGGCCUGAGAAGUCC
RNAcentral lists this long non-coding RNA (1124 nucleotides) under Equus asinus (donkey). RNAcentral's name for it is "lncRNA (ENSEASG00005027595.1)". The record is from RNAcentral. Lineage: Eukaryota; Metazoa; Chordata; Mammalia; Perissodactyla; Equidae.